This 486-nucleotide ribosomal RNA is filed under the name uncultured bacterium. RNAcentral's name for it is "partial 16S ribosomal RNA". It matches the Rfam family "Bacterial small subunit ribosomal RNA", at positions 28 to 507 of the family's 1533-position model. The record is from RNAcentral.
GAUGAACGCUGGCGGCGUGCCUAAUACAUGCAAGUCGAACGCUGGAACUCUAGCUUGCUAGAUUGAAGGAGUGGCGAACGGGUGAGUAAUACAUAAGCAACCUACCCACGAAGACUGGGAUAAUCUCUGGAAACGGGGACUAAUACCGGAUAGGUAAUCGGAAGGCAUCUUCUGAUUAUUAAAGGUUAAAAACACUGGUGGAUGGGCUUAUGGCGCAUUAGUUAGUUGGUGAGGUAACGGCCCACCAAGACGAUGAUGCGUAGCCGGCCUGAGAGGGUGAACGGCCACAUUGGGACUGAGACACGGCCCAGACUCCUACGGGAGGCAGCAGUAGGGAAUUUUCGGCAAUGGGGGAAACCCUGACCGAGCAACGCCGCGUGAGUGAUGACGGCCUUCGGGUUGUAAAGCUCUGCUGUAAGGGAAGAACGGUAGAUAGAGAAUAUCUAAAUGACGGUACCUUACCAGAAAGCCACGGCUAACUACGUG